UAGGGAAUCUUCGGCAAUGGGGGCAACCCUGACCGAGCAACGCCGCGUGAGUGAAGAAGGUUUUCGGAUCGUAAAGCUCUGUUGUAAGUCAAGAACGGGUGUGAGAGUGGAAAGUUCACACUGUGACGGUAGCUUACCAGAAAGGGACGGCUAACUACGUGCCAGCAGCCGCGGUAAUACGUAGGUCCCGAGCGUUGUCCGGAUUUAUUGGGCGUAAAGCGAGCGCAGGCGGUUUGAUAAAUCUGAAGUUAAAGGCUGUGGCUCAACCAUAGUUCGCUUUGGAAACUGUCAAACUUGAGUGCAGAAGGGGAGAGUGGAAUUCCAUGUGUAGCGGUGAAAUGCGUAGAUAUAUGGAGGAACACCGGUGGCGAAAGCGGCUCUCUGGUCUGUAACUGACGCUGAGGCUCGAAAGCGUGGGGAGCGAACAGG
This 429-nucleotide ribosomal RNA is filed under the name bacterium. Its description in RNAcentral is "partial 16S ribosomal RNA". It matches the Rfam family "Bacterial small subunit ribosomal RNA", at positions 355 to 776 of the family's 1533-position model. The record is from RNAcentral. RNAcentral also lists the same sequence under 1 other name.